Non-coding RNA from Lipotes vexillifer (Yangtze River dolphin), 848 nucleotides. The record is from RefSeq and is a predicted model, not a curated record. NCBI's taxonomy places the organism in Eukaryota, Metazoa, Chordata, Mammalia, Artiodactyla, Lipotidae.
AUGGGAGGGCUCUGGGUUACGCGAUGGCCGCGCGUGGCUUUCUGCGGGUGGCCCUGGAACCACCCUGGAAACCCGACCAGGGCUGCGGAGAGGGUAGAGUCUUGUCUUAGGUCGGGGAGGAGCGGGACAGGGGCUGCUGAGAGGGAGCUGAGACGGCUCGGGACAUGGAGGCGCCCGAGCUUGGCGGUGCAGCCGCCGCGGCGGCCGAAGAGCACAAACCCCUUCACGCGCGCACAGGAGGAGGAUUGGCGGCGGCGGAACAAGACCGUCCUCACGUAUGUGGCCGCGGCGGCCGUGGGCAUGCUGGGGGCGUCCUACGCCGCCGUGCCCCUUUACCGGCUCUACUGCCAGACUACUGGACUUGGAGGAUCGGCAGUAGCAGGUCGUGCAUCAGACCAGAUUGAAAACAUGGUACCUGUUAAGGAUCGCAUCAUUAAAGUCACCUUUAAUGCAGAUGUUCAUGCAAGUCUCCAGUGGAACUUUAGACCUCAGCAAACAGAAAUAUAUGUAGUGCCAGGGGAGACUGCACUGGCGUUUUAUAAAGCUAAGAAUCCUACUGACAAACCAGUAAUUGGAAUUUCUACAUACAAUGUUGUACCAUUUGAAGCUGGACAGUAUUUCAAUAAAAUACAGUGCUUCUGUUUUGAAGAACAAAGGCUUAAUCCACAAGAGGAAGUAGAUAUGCCGGUAUUUUUCUACAUUGAUCCUGAAUUUGCUGAAGAUCCAAGAAUGGUGAAGGUUGAUCUCAUCACUCUUUCUUAUACUUUUUUUGAAGCAAAGGAGGGGCAUAAGUUGCCGGUGCCAGGCUAUAAUUGAAGUCAGAACUAAGUCCUGCUUCAAAUUUGUGA